GUGUCGGCAGCCGCGGUAAGACAGAGGGUGCAAACGUUGUUCGGAUUUACUGGGCGUAAAGCGCGUGUAGGCGGCUUUACAAGUCGGAUGUGAAAGCCCACGGCUCAACCGUGGAAGUGCAUCCGAAACUGUAUCGCUGGAGUCCCGGAGAGGAAGGUGGAAUGCUUGGUGUAGAGGUGAAAUUCGUAGAUAUCAAGCAGAACACCUGCGGCGAAGGCGGCCUUCUGGACGGUGACUGACGCUGAGGCGCGAAAGCGUGGGGAGCAAACAGGAUUAGAUACCCCGGUAGUCC
This 292-nucleotide ribosomal RNA is filed under the name uncultured bacterium. RNAcentral's name for it is "partial 16S ribosomal RNA". It matches the Rfam family "Bacterial small subunit ribosomal RNA", at positions 505 to 796 of the family's 1533-position model. The record is from RNAcentral.